RNAcentral lists this transfer RNA (72 nucleotides) under Chelonia mydas (Green sea turtle). It matches the Rfam family "tRNA". From Rfam's summary of the family: Transfer RNA (tRNA) molecules are approximately 80 nucleotides in length. Their secondary structure includes four short double-helical elements and three loops (D, anti-codon, and T loops). Further hydrogen bonds mediate the characteristic L-shaped molecular structure. tRNAs have two regions of fundamental functional importance: the anti-codon, which is responsible for specific mRNA codon recognition, and the 3' end, to which the tRNAs corresponding amino acid is attached (by aminoacyl-tRNA synthetases). tRNAs cope with the degeneracy of the genetic code in two manners: having more than one tRNA (with a specific anti-codon) for a particular amino acid; and 'wobble' base-pairing, i.e. permitting non-standard base-pairing at the 3rd anti-codon position. Lineage: Eukaryota; Metazoa; Chordata; Testudines; Cheloniidae. The record is from Rfam by way of RNAcentral.
GGCAAUGUGAUCUAGUGGAGAGAACACUGGACUUUGACUCCAGAGACAUGGAUUCUAUUCCUGACUUUGCCA